This is a non-coding RNA of Bos taurus (domestic cattle), 93 nucleotides long. NCBI's taxonomy places the organism in Eukaryota, Metazoa, Chordata, Mammalia, Artiodactyla, Bovidae. The record is from Rfam.
GCUCCAGUGGCGCAAUCGGUUAGCGCGCGGUACUUAUAGGGCAGUGCGAGCGGAGCGAUGCCGAGGUUGUGAGUUCGAUCCUCACCUGGAGCA